RNAcentral lists this ribosomal RNA (468 nucleotides) under uncultured bacterium. RNAcentral describes it as "partial 16S ribosomal RNA". It matches the Rfam family "Bacterial small subunit ribosomal RNA", at positions 28 to 507 of the family's 1533-position model. The record is from RNAcentral.
GACGAACGCUGGCGGCGUGCUUAACACAUGCAAGUCGAACGGAAAGGCCCUGCUUUUGUGGGGUGCUCGAGUGGCGAACGGGUGAGUAACACGUGAGUAACCUGCCCUUGACUUUGGGAUAACUUCAGGAAACUGGGGCUAAUACCGGAUAGGAGCUCCUGCUGCAUGGUGGGGGUUGGAAAGUUUCGGCGGUUGGGGAUGGACUCGCGGCUUAUCAGCUUGUUGGUGGGGUAGUGGCUUACCAAGGCUUUGACGGGUAGCCGGCCUGAGAGGGUGACCGGCCACAUUGGGACUGAGAUACGGCCCAGACUCCUACGGGAGGCAGCAGUGGGGAAUAUUGCACAAUGGGCGGAAGCCUGAUGCAGCGACGCCGCGUGCGGGAUGACGGCCUUCGGGUUGUAAACCGCUUUCGCCCGUGACGAAGCGUGAGUGACGGUAAUGGGUAAAGAAGCACCGGCUAACUACGUG